Heterocephalus glaber (naked mole-rat) is the source of this 488-nucleotide non-coding RNA. NCBI's taxonomy places the organism in Eukaryota, Metazoa, Chordata, Mammalia, Rodentia, Bathyergidae. The record is from RefSeq and is a predicted model, not a curated record.
GGCAGCAAGUGCAAAGCUGCGCUCGGUCGGUCGGGCCUCGCCUUCCUGACCGAUCCUGACCGACUGUGGGCCGUUGUGUUGCAGGUGUUCUUCCCCAGAGAACGUGGACUCACGGGGCGGAGCCUUGGUGGCCCGGCAGGGCAGUCUGCCCAAGCUGUGCGAUGCCUGGGGGCUGCACGGCAACCUCCAGGGCAUGCAGGAGAGGCUGUCCAAGAUGCAGGCCUCUGGCCAGGACCGGUCCGGUCCCGCGAGGUUCUUCAAGGAAACUUCCGCAAAAAUCAAAAUUCAAGAGGAUUAAGGAGGCCCCAGAAAGCCCAGAGACCUGACCGUAGGAGCACCCACAGGGACAGAGGCCAGCUUGCCUGGACACCCUGAGUACUUGGGCAGCUUCAACCUGUCAGCCUCUGGGGGGUGGGACUCAUGAAGGGAAAGAAGAAAAUGAAAAGGGCGCUCAGGUCUUGAUUAUAAAUAACAGAGUGGGAAAUGAA